Molecule: non-coding RNA, 105 nt
Filed under: Fusibacter sp. 3D3
Lineage: Bacteria; Bacillati; Bacillota; Clostridia; Eubacteriales; Fusibacteraceae
Also listed under: 1 other name
Description: Fusibacter sp. 3-D3-R-P8ASC2010 TPP riboswitch aptamer (THI element)
Rfam family: TPP riboswitch aptamer (THI element)
About the family: Vitamin B(1) in its active form thiamin pyrophosphate (TPP) is an essential coenzyme that is synthesised by coupling of pyrimidine and thiazole moieties in bacteria. The previously detected thiamin-regulatory element, thi box was extended, resulting in a new, highly conserved RNA secondary structure, the THI element, which is widely distributed in eubacteria and also occurs in some archaea.
Source: Rfam by way of RNAcentral
UGAAUAUUUUUCGGGAGCUUGUAUUUCAGGCUGAGAGGAAGUAAUUGAACUUCGACCGUACCUGAUUUGGAUAAUGCCAACGUAGGAAAUGUGAUUAGAUUUUUA